Molecule: ribosomal RNA, 358 nt
Filed under: Papilio polytes (common Mormon)
Lineage: Eukaryota; Metazoa; Arthropoda; Insecta; Lepidoptera; Papilionidae
Description: partial 12S ribosomal RNA
Source: RNAcentral
AACUAGGAUUAGAUACCCUAUUAUUAAAAAUUUAAUUAUAAAUACUAAAAUAGUAAAUAAUUUUUUAUUGAAACUUAAAUAAUAUGGCGGUAUUUUAGUUCAUUUAGAGGAAUCUGUUUAAUAAUUGAUAAUCCACGAAUAAAUUUACUUAAUUUAUUAUUUUGUAUAUCAUUGUUAAAAAAAUAUUUUUUAAUAAAAAUAAUAUUUAAAAAUUUUUAAUAUAAAUUAAUUCAGAUCAAGAUGCAGAUUAUAAUUAAGUUAAAGAUGGAUUACAAUAAAUUUAUUUAAACGAAAAAAAUUUUGAAAAAUUUAAUUGAAGGUGGAUUUAAAUGUAAUUUUAUUUAAUUUAAUAAAAGUA